CCUACGGGAGGCAGCAGUGAGGAAUAUUGGUCAAUGGACGCAAGUCUGAACCAGCCAAGUAGCGUGCAGGAUGACGGCCCUCCGGGUUGUAAACUGCGUUUAGUUGGGAAUAAAAGGGGGCUCGUGAGCCCCGUCUUGUAUGUACCAUCAGAAAAAGGACCGGCUAAUUCCGUGCCAGCAGCCGCGGUAAUACGGAGGGUCCGGGCGUUAUCCGGAUUUAUUGGUUUUAAAGGGAGCGUAGGCCGGCGUUUAAGUCAGAGGUGAAAGUCCGCGGCUCAACCGUGGAAUUGCAGUUGAAACUGGAGGCCUUGAGUGCACACAGGGAUGCCGGAAUUCAUGGUGUAGCGGUGAAAUGCUUAGAUAUAAUGAAGAACUCCGAUCGCGAAGGCAAGUGUCCGGGGUGCAACUGACGCUGAGGCUCGAAAGUGCGGGUAUCAAACAGGAUUAGAUACCCGUGUAGUC
Molecule: ribosomal RNA, 462 nt
Filed under: uncultured bacterium
Lineage: Bacteria
Description: partial 16S ribosomal RNA
Rfam family: Bacterial small subunit ribosomal RNA
Source: RNAcentral